This 369-nucleotide unclassified non-coding RNA is filed under the name fungal sp. RNAcentral's name for it is "partial internal transcribed spacer region". The stretch from base 1 to 46 matches the Rfam family "Eukaryotic small subunit ribosomal RNA", at positions 1786 to 1831 of the family's 1831-position model. The record is from RNAcentral. Lineage: Eukaryota; Fungi.
AAGUCGUAACAAGGUUUCCGUAGGUGAACCUGCGGAAGGAUCAUUAACACCAAAAGUCAACACAAAAACGCCACGCCUUUGUCACAAAGGGCUGGCUUUUUGUGUUUUCUUCUUAACCCUCCUUUUGUGCGAACAUGUGUUUUCAUACUGUUUGGGGGGAUGCGUUGCUUUGCUGCUCUAUUAUAGCUCUCACAAGCUGUAGUAGCUGAAAAGUGGCCUUCCCUUUCUUUCAACCUUUUCUUAACCCCUUGAACUGUCUUUGACUGAACUUGGUCAUUUUUUCUUUUUUUGUUGUUUACACAACAAAAAAGCAAAAAGGACUAUACAUCCAACGCUGAACAACUCUUAGCAACGGAUAUCUUGGCUCUC